Molecule: ribosomal RNA, 253 nt
Filed under: uncultured bacterium
Lineage: Bacteria
Description: partial 16S ribosomal RNA
Rfam family: Bacterial small subunit ribosomal RNA
Source: RNAcentral
UACGUAGGGACCAAGCGUUGUUCGGAAUUACUGGGCGUAAAGGGCUCGUAGGUGGCCAACUAAGUCAGACGUGAAAUCCCUCGGCUUAACCGGGGAACUGCGUCUGAUACUGGAUGGCUUGAGUUCGGGAGAGGGAUGCGGAAUUCCAGGUGUAGCGGUGAAAUGCGUAGAUAUCUGGAGGAACACCGGUGGCGAAGGCGGCAUCCUGGACCGACACUGACGCUGAGGAGCGAAAGCCAGGGGAGCAAACGGG